Molecule: ribosomal RNA, 301 nt
Filed under: uncultured bacterium
Lineage: Bacteria
Description: partial 16S ribosomal RNA
Rfam family: Bacterial small subunit ribosomal RNA
Source: RNAcentral
CAGCCGCCGCGGUAAUACGUAGGUGGCAAGCGUUGUCCGGAAUUAUUGGGCGUAAAGGGCUCGCAGGCGGUUUCUUAAGUCUGAUGUGAAAGCCCCCGGCUCAACCGGGGAGGGUCAUUGGAAACUGGGAAACUUGAGUGCAGAAGAGGAGAGUGGAACUCCACGUGUAGCGGUGAAAUGCGUAGAGAUGUGGAGGAACACCAGUGGCGAAGGCGACUCCCUGGUCUGUAACUGACGCUGAGGAGCGAAAGCGUGGGGAGCGAACAGGAUUAGAUACCCGUGUAGUCCCUGUCUCUUAUAA